Molecule: long non-coding RNA, 892 nt
Filed under: Lactuca sativa (garden lettuce)
Lineage: Eukaryota; Viridiplantae; Streptophyta; Magnoliopsida; Asterales; Asteraceae
Description: long non-coding RNA (LSAT_LNC005768)
Source: RNAcentral
CCGUAUCUAACCUUACUUCCCUUUAAGGACCACAACUAGAAUAUGAUAUGAGAUAGAUGUAUCAAGUCUUUGUAAUGAAUACAUAAGAUUGGCAACAUGAGCUAACCAGGAUUUGUAUAGCAUCAUUGCACUUAUCAGAUCCAUCUAAGUAUCAAAUCCAUUAUCCAUCCCAUGAAAAAAAGGGAAAACUGAAAUUCGAUAUUAGAAAUUAAGAGUAAUUCUAAUCCAUUUUUAAGUUAAAAUUUUGUAACUAACAAACUAAGGCGUUGUUGUUGAUCUCAUAAUUCGAAAAUUCCUAGCUUUGAAUCAACAAAUCAUGAGUGUAAUACAUUUUUGAAAACAUUAAUUAUCCAUCUGAAUUCAUGUCAUGAAAAAAGUCAUUUCCUUGAGUUUAUCAUACUCAAAAUAACCAUUAAAACCAAUAUCUAACAUAUUCAUUAAAAGCAAUAUCUAAAGACAUGCGUAUGGGUUGUCCGUGGUAAUCCAGAUUAAAAACAGUUGUGCACACGUGGAGCCUUGUUUAUGCAAUGAAUCUUCCUAACUUGAACUUCAACAUGUUAAAUUAGAGUAACGAAUGCAUAUGUCAGAAAUAAUCUACUUUGUAAACAAUUCAUAAGUAAUUAGGAAAAAGAACCGGUUAAAUUUAUUCACCUGCUAAGAGGAACCUUUGAUGAACCAUUACUACUCCUUAGAACUCAGUAUAUGAUUAUUUGGGAAUUACGUACAAUAGUAGCCACCAUCAACACACACUGAAGUCCCUCACCUUUGAAAAAGAUAUAAACUUGUCCAAUUCCACCACUGAAAAAUGAUAGCGUUUGGUGCAUGGACUAGAUAAAAUAGAACUGUGGAUUGGAGUCAACAAAACCCAUUAUAUGUGUAAUGUUUGGUAAAC